UGGGAACCUAAUAUAUGUUCCGCGUUUCCAGCGGCGCUUGUUUACGGCGGACUGACCAGCUAGCCGAGGACACGAACCUCCAACAAAGGCAAUGGCAACAGUUCUCUAUAGAGGAACAUAAACCAGCAGCUGAAACCUCCUCGAGCCUGGGCUGCUCCAUCAGGCAGAUGGUGAUGAACCAGAUGGACUCAAUAGAUAGCGAUCCAGCUGCUGAACAAGACAGUGGAAAUCUUCGGAAACGGCACAGAGAACAACGCAUAGCUGGAACUGUGCAGAAGCUUCAAGAGAUGAAACAGAGGAUGGUAGAGGCGGAGAAGAAGCAGAACCAGUGGCUCUACUGGAGGACCAUCCUCCUUGGCAUGGGUGCCGGGGCAGCCCUCAUUGCUGGACUCACAUUCACAUUCUGGACCUUCCUCUCACAUUGACAGACUACAAUCAUUUUCACAAUCAGUAUUAUUAUUACUGACGUUUAUGCUAUAUAUAUUUCCAAAGGCAAUGAAAGUUAUUUGUCUGCUAACAUUAAUAAUAAAUUAGGUAUUCAAACCCCUGUACGUUUCAGUUCCAGAUUAAGGCAGAUGAUAAAUGAUUCCCAAAUAAUACACAAAAUACAGCAAAAAUGUAAAUGUCAUGGAGAAAGUGGAGAUCCUCUCUGGAUAUUAACAUCGCUUUGUCUAAGGGUCAUAGGAUAACGUUAUAUAGCUGUUUUGCGGUUGCCAGUUAUAUAUAACUUUAACUCUAAUGCUGGGCCAAUUUCAAUAAUUUUUGUCCCUAGUAAAACAGGAUAACGUAAAAAAAAUCCUGAAGUUUCCCUUUAAUGGGGGGAAAAGACUCGGAGUGUUUUGAUGUCCACGUGAGCACUAUUUGAUCCAUAAGAAGAAAGUGAAAAUGACAUCACACCACCCAGGUUCUGCCCCCUAAACCAAGCAUCUGUUGCCCGGGUUCUUCACCAAUCAAAGCUUUACAGGAUUUGAGGCCAUCUUCAAAUGUUUUCAAAAAACAAAA
Molecule: long non-coding RNA, 1002 nt
Organism: Clupea harengus (Atlantic herring)
Lineage: Eukaryota; Metazoa; Chordata; Actinopteri; Clupeiformes; Clupeidae
Source: Ensembl